GGCAGGGUAGCCUAGUGGUUAGAGCGUUGGACCAGUAACCGGAUGGUUGCAAGUUCAAACCCCCGACCUGACAA
RNAcentral lists this transfer RNA (74 nucleotides) under Oncorhynchus nerka (sockeye salmon). Lineage: Eukaryota; Metazoa; Chordata; Actinopteri; Salmoniformes; Salmonidae. The record is from RNAcentral.